This 468-nucleotide ribosomal RNA is filed under the name uncultured bacterium. RNAcentral's name for it is "partial 16S ribosomal RNA". It matches the Rfam family "Bacterial small subunit ribosomal RNA", at positions 28 to 507 of the family's 1533-position model. The record is from RNAcentral.
GACGAACGCUGGCGGCGUGCUUAACACAUGCAAGUCGAACGGAAAGGCCCUGCUUUUGUGGGGUGCUCGAGUGGCGAACGGGUGAGUAACACGUGAGUAACCUGCCCUUGACUUUGGGAUAACUUCAGGAAACUGGGGCUAAUACCGGAUAGGAGCUCCUGCUGCAUGGUGGGGGUUGGAAAGUUUCGGCGGUUGGGGAUGGACUCGCGGCUUAUCAGCUUGUUGGUGGGGUAGUGGCUUACCAAGGCUUUGACGGGUAGCCGGCCUGAGAGGGUGACCGGCCACAUUGCGACUGAGAUACGGCCCAGACUCCUACGUGACGCAGCAGUGGGGAAUAUUGCACAAUGGGCGGAAGCCUGAUGCAGCAACGCCGCGUGCGGGAUGACGGCCUUCGGGUUGUAAACCGCUUUCGCCUGUGACGAAGCGUGAGUGACGGUAAUGGGUAAAGAAGCACCGGCUAACUACGUG